GACGAACGCUGGCGGCGUGCCUAAUACAUGCAAGUAGAACGCACAGUUUAUACCGUAGCUUGCUACACCAUAGACUGUGAGUUGCGAACGGGUGAGUAACGCGUAGGUAACCUGCCUGGUAGCGGGGGAUAACUAUUGGAAACGAUAGCUAAUACCGCAUAAUAUUGAUUAUUGCAUGAUAAUUGAUUGAAAGAUGCUAUUGCAUCACUACCAGAUGGACCUGCGUUGUAUUAGCUAGUAGGUGAGGUAACGGCUCACCUAGGCGACGAUACAUAGCCGACCUGGGAGGGUGAUCGGCCACACUGGGACUGAGACACGGCCCAGACUCCUACGGGAGGCAGCAGUAGGGAAUCUUCGGCAAUGGACGAAAGUCUGACCGAGCAACGCCGCGGGAGUGAAGAAGGGUUUCGGAUCGUAAAGCUCUGUUGUAAGAGAAGAACGGGUGUGAGAGUGGAAAGUUCACACUGUGACGGUAUCUUACCAGAAAGGGACGGCUAACUACGUG
Molecule: ribosomal RNA, 505 nt
Filed under: uncultured bacterium
Lineage: Bacteria
Description: partial 16S ribosomal RNA
Rfam family: Bacterial small subunit ribosomal RNA
Source: RNAcentral